Molecule: ribosomal RNA, 235 nt
Filed under: uncultured bacterium
Lineage: Bacteria
Description: partial 16S ribosomal RNA
Rfam family: Bacterial small subunit ribosomal RNA
Source: RNAcentral
CGCACGGGUGAGUAACACGUAUCCAACCUGCCGUCUACUCUUGGACAGCCUUCUGAAAGGAAGAUUAAUACAAGAUGGCAUCAUGAGUUCACAUGUUCACAUGAUUAAAGGUAUUCCGGUAGACGAUGGGGAUGCGUUCCAUUAGAUGGUAGGCGGGGUAACGGCCCACCUAGUCUUCGAUGGAUAGGGGUUCUGAGAGGAAGGUCCCCCACAUUGGAACUGAGACACGGUCCAA